RNAcentral lists this unclassified non-coding RNA (373 nucleotides) under fungal sp. RNAcentral describes it as "partial internal transcribed spacer region". The record is from RNAcentral. Lineage: Eukaryota; Fungi.
AGAGCGAAAGGGAAAAGGCGAGCGCGGCACGAUCGAGCCCGGCGAAAUCGAACUACGCAAUGUGGACGCCGACAUCGGCAUCAAAGGGUAUAUUCCGCUCGAUCUCGGUUCGACAGGCCGAAUCGCGCUCGGCACAAAAACCGAAGACGCGCUGACCGAGCUCAAGCUGAAGAGUAAGACGACGAGUCAUCUGCAAUGGUCGUUGGAGCAGAUGGCGGUGACCAUCGAUGAGUUGAAUUUCGGGUCCACCAAGGUAAGCGGUGACAAGCUGGGGGGUGCUGAAAUCCAAAUCAGCAAAGUAGAGAACGGCAAGCUGACGUUUACCAACGGGAAGGUCAUGAGCCCCAAGGAACUGGAAGGCACCGUCACGAGC